RNAcentral lists this transfer RNA (62 nucleotides) under Lucanus chengyuani. RNAcentral describes it as "tRNA-Pro". The record is from RNAcentral. Lineage: Eukaryota; Metazoa; Arthropoda; Insecta; Coleoptera; Lucanidae.
CAGGAAAUAGUUUAUAAAAAUAUUAAUUUUGGAGAUUAAAGUUGGGAUAUUUCCUUUUCUGA